GCAACUAAAUAGGGACUUAAAAUUUUCACAAAUUUUUUCAUUUUCUUUAAAUUUUGUUUCUUUAUUCUGUUAUUCUUUUCAUCCUUAAUCUUUUUUUCUUUCUUUUUUUUUUCAUUCAUUUUUUUUUCUAUUCUCUUUCUCGUCCUCUUUCCUCAUUUUCUUCCUUACCCAAAUCGUUGUGGUUUGCUCUGAUCACUCAACCUUUCCCAAAUCCUAACCUAAACCAAAUUCACAAUACCCUAAACUCACAUAUCUAACAACCCACAAACAUGUAUACAACCAUGAACCCAAAACCUCUUUGCAACCAAUUUUGGGCCCAUCCUAUGAAACCGGUGAAAAACUAUAAAACAAAAUAAGAAAAAACAAAGUAAAAAAGAGAGGGGGUGAUUUAUGUUCAAAAAAUCCGGUUAAGAAAACAGUUUACUGUAAUAGUAAAAGUUUAAAAAUUUUCUAAACUCGGUUAGUUUGUGAUAUUUAUAAUAAUAUUUUACCAGAAAUUACUUGUGUUUUAUGCAAG
Molecule: long non-coding RNA, 517 nt
Filed under: Gossypium raimondii (Peruvian cotton)
Lineage: Eukaryota; Viridiplantae; Streptophyta; Magnoliopsida; Malvales; Malvaceae
Description: long non-coding RNA (GRAI_LNC008664)
Source: RNAcentral